UGAAUACGAGACGCUAAGGCGUCGAAGUAGUGUAUGUCAUACUUCCAAGAAAAGCUUGCACUGUCAUAAAUAGAAAAUGCCUGUACCAUAACCGACACAGGUGGGUAGGUAGAGUAUACUAAGGGGCGCGAGAUAACUCUCUCUAAGGAACUCGGCAAAAUGACUCCGUAACUUCGGGAGAAGGAGUGCCUUAUUUUUAAGGUUGCAAUAACAAGAUCCAAGCAACUGUUUAUCAAAAACACAGGUCUCCGCUAAGUCAUAAGACGAUGUAUGGGGGCUGACGCCUGCCCAGUGCCAGAAGGUUAAAGAAGUUGGUUAGCAUUAGCGAAGCUGAUAACUGAAGCCCUGGUGAACGGCGGCCGUAACAAUAACGGUCCUAAGGUAGCGAAAUUCCUUGUCGGGUAAGUUCCGACCCGCACGAAAGGCGUAAUGAUUUGGAUACUGUCUCGGAGAGGGGCUCGGUGAAAUAGACUUGUCUGUGAAGAUGCGGACUACCUGCACCUGGACAGAAAGACCCUAUGAAGCUUUACUGUAACUUGAAAUUGAAAUUGGACUUUAGUCGCGCAGCAUAGGUGGGAGGCGUUGAUGAUGUUCUUGCGGGAACAUUGGAGCUAUCAGUGAGAUACCACUCUUCUAAUGUUAGAUUUCUAACUUUGAACCAUUAUCUGGUCAGAGAACAGUUUCAGGCGGGCAGUUUGACUGGGGCGGUCGCCUCCCAAAUGGUAACGGAGGCGUACAAAGGUUUCCUCUGAACGGAUAGAAAUCGUAUCUAGAGUGUAAAGGCAUAAGGAAGCUUGACUGUGAGACCUACAAGUCGAGCAGGGACGAAAGUCGGUCUUAGUGAUCUGACGGUACUGAGUGGAAAGGCCGUCACUCAACGGAUAAAAGUUACUCUAGGAUAACAGGCUGAUCUCCCCCAAGAGUUCACAUCGACGGGGAGGUUUGGCACCUCGAUGUCGGCUCAUCGCAUCCUGGGGCGGUAGUACGUCCCAAGGGUUGGGCUGUUCGCCCAUGAAAGCGGUACGCGAGCUGGGUUCAGAACGUCGUGAGACAGUUCGGUCCAUAUCCGGUGUAGGCGUUAGAAUAUUGAGAGGAGCCUUCUCUAGUACGAGAGGACCGAGAAGGACAUACCUCUGGUGUACCAGUUAUCGUGCCAACGGUAAACGCUGGGUAGCUAUGUAUGGAGUGGAUAACCGCUGAAAGCAUCUAAGUGGGAAGCCCACCUCAAGAUGAG
This 1234-nucleotide ribosomal RNA is filed under the name metagenome. RNAcentral describes it as "bacterial LSU rRNA". It matches the Rfam family "Bacterial large subunit ribosomal RNA", at positions 1564 to 2808 of the family's 2925-position model. The record is from RNAcentral.